RNAcentral lists this long non-coding RNA (1228 nucleotides) under Homo sapiens (human). RNAcentral's name for it is "HSALNT0063988". Lineage: Eukaryota; Metazoa; Chordata; Mammalia; Primates; Hominidae. The record is from RNAcentral.
GGGCGUUGUACAUUUUCAAGUGAAAAAUAAAUAAUAAUAAUUAAGAAACAACAUUCUUCACAUUUGACUCUGAAACCAUUCUUUUCUUUUUGAGAAGUCAGUGGCACCAAUGAAAGGCAAUGUAAUACAGUGGUAAAGAGCAAGAACUGUGGACCAGAAUUCUGGGUUUGCAUCCCAGCUUCCCCAAUGUCUGUCUAGUUGUAUCAUAGUGAGUUUCUUACUUUCAAUGUUUAAAUUUCCUCAUCUGUAAGAAGGGGAUAAUAGUUCCUGUCAGAGUUGCUAUAAGGAUUAAAUCAGUUGCUGCAUGUAAAACAAACACUUAAGACGGUACCUGGCACACAGGACACAUUUCUUAAAUCUUUUUGCCAUUAUUAGUGUUCCAUAGCGCUUGUUUUAGGACAUUUUUUCAAAUAACAGAAAGUAAUCCAUUUGUGGAUCAUCAACUCAAUUUAGUGGAUAAAAACCAGCAUUUAAAAAAUGACACUAAAAAACAUAUUUGCAUGAUAUGUAAGGGUAAGUAUUGUUAUACUUGUAUGUACAUGUACAUGUUAUACAUGUUAUGUAAGGGUAAGUAUGUUACUUGUAUGUACACAUAAACGUACAUACAAGUCUAUAGGUCAUGAUGUUAAAAAAUAUAUCUUACUAUAAAUAUCAAAAAAAAUCAAAAGCCACCAAUUUAGGAAAAGCUAGGUUUAGAUUUAUGCAAUAUAGUAUUUUUAAAUGGUGAUAAAAAAUAUCUAUGUAGCUUAAUUCCUAAAGUAAUGUAAGAUGAUGAUCCUGCCACUCAUAUUGUUUUACUCCAGUGAAGCAACUCUGCCUAUCCACCGGGGGAGAUUUGGCAAUGUCUGGAGACAUUUUUUAUUGUGUCUACUGGGCAUGGAGGUGCCACCAAUCAGUCAGUGGGCAGAGAGCAGGGAUCCUGCUAAACUGCCCCACAACAAAAAAUUAACCAACCCCAAAUGUCAAGCGUGCCGAGGAUGAGAAAUUCUACUUUUACGUGUGAUACAUCAUUGCUAACGUGAUUAUGAUGUGAUAUGCAAGUAUGUGAUGACAUACAAGUUUUAUAAUAUGAAAACGAAUCUGCUGAAUCAUCGAAAGGGACCUAGUCACUGCUCCCAGUUCCAUAAGGCUUUUCAAUUUGCUCAAGAUUAGGAAUUGUAAGUGGAAUGAAGCAGCACUUCCAGUUGACAAAUGGAUCCAAAGGUAAUCCAAUGUCUUUUAAAUUAAG